UAGGGAAUCUUCGGCAAUGGGGGGAACCCUGACCGAGCAACGCCGCGUGAGUGAAGAAGGUUUUCGGAUCGUAAAGCUCUGUUGUUAAGGAAGAACGAGUGUGAGAAUGGAAAGUUCAUGCUGUGACGGUACUUAACCAGAAAGGGACGGCUAACUACGUGCCAGCAGCCGCGGUAAUACGUAGGUCCCGAGCGUUGUCCGGAUUUAUUGGGCGUAAAGCGAGCGCAGGCGGUUAGAAAAGUCUGAAGUGAAAGGCAGUGGCUCAACCAUUGUAGGCUUUGGAAACUGUUUAACUUGAGUGCAGAAGGGGAGAGUGGAAUUCCAUGUGUAGCGGUGAAAUGCGUAGAUAUAUGGAGGAACACCGGUGGCGAAAGCGGCUCUCUGGUCUGUAACUGACGCUAAGGCUCGAAAGCGUGGGGAGCGAACAGG
This 429-nucleotide ribosomal RNA is filed under the name Bacteroidota bacterium. RNAcentral's name for it is "Bacteroidetes bacterium partial 16S ribosomal RNA". It matches the Rfam family "Bacterial small subunit ribosomal RNA", at positions 355 to 776 of the family's 1533-position model. The record is from RNAcentral. RNAcentral also lists the same sequence under 1 other name. Lineage: Bacteria; Pseudomonadati; Bacteroidota.